UGCAGUCGAACGGCACCUUCGGGUGCAGUGGCGGACGGGUGAGUAACACGUAAGUAACCUGCCCGAAAGUGGGGAAUAACUAGCCGAAAGGCUGGCUAAUACCGCAUGUGAUGGUCGCUCUUUGGGGUGGUCAUGAAAGGCCUUCGGGUCGCUUUCGGAGGGGCUUGCGGCCGAUUAGCUUGUUGGUGGGGUAACGGCCUACCAAGGCUGCGAUCGGUAGCUGGUCUGAGAGGACGGACAGCCACACGGGGACUGAGAUACGGCCCCGACUCCUACGGGAGGCAGCAGCUAGGAAUCUUGGGAAUGGGCGAAAGCCUGACCCAGCAACGCCGCGUGGGCGAUGAAGGCCUUCGGGUCGUAAAGCCCUUUUGCAGGGGACGAUGAUGACGGUACCCUGCGAAUAAGCCACGGCUAACUACGUGCCAGCAGCCGCGGUAAUACGUAGGUGGCAAGCGUUGUCCGGAUUUACUGGGCGUAAAGGGCGUGCAGGCGGUUUGUUAAGUCUAGGGUGAAAGCUCCCGGCUCAACUGGGAGAGGUCCUUGGAUACUGGCAGACUUGAGGAGAGUAGAGGAGAGUGGAAUUCCCGGUGUAGUGGUGAUAUGCGUAGAUAUCGGGAGGAACACCAGUGGCGAAGGCGGCUCUCUGGGCUCUACCUGACGCUGAGACGCGAAAGCGUGGGGAGCGAACCGGAUUAGAUACCCGGGUAGUCCACGCCGUAAACUAUGGACACUAGGUGUGGGGGGUAUCGACCCCCUCCGUGCCGAAGCCAACGCAAUAAGUGUCCCGCCUGGGGAGUACGGCCGCAAGGCUAAAACUCAAAGGAAUUGAC
This 830-nucleotide ribosomal RNA is filed under the name uncultured Bacillota bacterium. Its description in RNAcentral is "bacterial SSU rRNA". It matches the Rfam family "Bacterial small subunit ribosomal RNA", at positions 56 to 914 of the family's 1533-position model. Lineage: Bacteria; Bacillati; Bacillota. The record is from RNAcentral.